CACGUCUCAGAUAACGCAUUGCAGAUAUCGACGUUACCUCAUCGGCUUGCGGCUUGACUUUUUUUUUCUGACUCUCUCUACAAGCACACACGCACCCACACGCGCAUACGCCCGCCUCUCUCUUCCUCUGUCUUCUCACAUGGCGGCAAUGGCUCCAAAGCCGACGAGCUCGAAUCCCGUCAAGGUCUUCUUCUUCGUGCCAAACAUUAUCGGCUAUGCCCGGAUAGCGGCGUCGAUCAUGGCCUAUCUGGUGGCACGCGACUACCCUGCGCUGUGCCUCGUGCUCUACGCGGCCUCCUUCCUGCUGGACGCGGCCGACGGCAUGGCGGCUCGUGUGUUGGAUCAGUGCUCGAACUUUGGCGCCAUUCUGGACAUGCUCACCGAUCGUGCCUCGACGGCUGGCUUCCUGGUGGUGCUUGACAGCGUACUGCAACCCAUGCCGUACCGCUACACAUGUGUUCUCGCCAUACUUCUCUUCCUCGACGUGGCGUCUCAUUUUUGCCGCAUGUACGCCUCCGUCUUUAUUCGAAAGGAUAGCCACAAGGACGUCUCGGACAGCAUCUUCUGGCUGCUGCGCGUGUACUACAUAAACGGCCGCGUGAUGAGCUUCUUCUGCAUCGGGCAGGAGUUCGCGUACAUUUUCCUGUACGCAUGGGCGAACUACGCGAGUGUCGCGGUGGUGGGCGACCUUCUGUGGUACGCCUUCGCGGUGUGCGUGGUGCCCUGCUUCCUGAAGCAGGUCGUCAAUGUUCAGCAGCUCGUGGAUGGUCUCUACCACAUCGCUUGCGUGGACGCUCAGAAGCGCUGCGCGCAAGGCAAAUACGCCUGAGGACUGCGUCGAAGAUGCCGGUGCGGACGCUCUCCCCUGCUUCUCCAGCUCUCGCUUCCCCGCCGAAAAACGAUGGGGAUCUUGCGUGGGAGAGGUGCGAGGAUGGCGUGUUGGCGAGGGCUGUCGCUCGGCGGUCGCUACUUAUAUAUAUUCGCAUCUCUCACCCUCUGUCUCUCGCUGCGAUGCUGGUGGAAGGGGAGCCCCAACAAGCGGUACUUUCUGCUCCGUGUCGCCGUAGCGGGUCGUGCGGAAGGUGCUGGCGAUGAUGCUGUUAUUAUUGAACUACAAUGUGACUGCGGUGAUAGGUGUCAAGAGAGGGGGAAUAGAUGGGAGCCACAGUGCUAGUGAAGAGGGAGGAUGGGGGAACCGAGGUGACGCAGGGGUGGUGGUGGUGGUGUGGUGGUGCGUUAGUGACCGAAGGAGGGGGAAAGAGGCAAUGACAGCGGCGAUGCUAGAUGGCGCAGAGCACGUUGAUCUGCCAUGUUGGUCGUAGCGAGUCCCGUCCUCGCAGGUGGGGAGCAAUGCGGGAAGGAAGGGGAAGGGGAAGGGGAAGGGCACGCUACUCUCCGAGAGACAGGAAUACACGUCUCGCUUCGUAGCACCGUCUCCUCCAGCCCCCUUCUCCCCUCGCGCCGCCACUCACUCACUGGAGUUGUCGACCUUCUGCGCAGCCUCUCUGUUUCUGACCUCCUCCGCCACGCUCCUCCCUCUUCUUGUGAGCGGGGAAACAGACACGGAGAAGGACGAACCGCGCUGACAAGUGAGCGGCGUAUACUUGUGUGUGUGUGUGUGUGUGUGUGCGUGCAGCGCGCACUUCUUGUUCUCUCGCUCUGCUUCACCCCUUUGCGCACGCUCCUUGUCGAUGUUGUUGUGGCGGUGUACUGGGGGGGGGAGAGUGGCAACGCUCUCAUGCAUGUAACUGCACUCUCCCUCUCUACCCCGCCCUCACUUCCUCGAGGCGCGUAACCGAGUAGGCGCGUCUGCUCAUGGGCGCGCCGUGUCGCUGUUUCUGAGAUGGGGCAACGAGCAUAUCAAACUGAAUGCAAAGAGAGAUGCGCCCUCCUUGUGCGAAGGCGCACCACAAGCUAGAUGCACAUACACACACGCACACAAGUACGCGCCAGACUGCGCAUGCGAGGCCACGUGUGCUUCCUCUCCCCCUCUGUCUGGCCUCUGCUUCGCAUCUCAUCUUCUGCUGCUCGGACGCACCUGAGGGGCCGGUUAGGGAGUAUGGUGUACACGAGAUAGGGGCAGCGUAGGCGAGCAGCACAGUGAGCAUGCUUGCCGUUUCCCAUGCACGGCGGCAGCUGCGCGUACGCUUGUAGCAGGAUGUGGCUGUCCCUGUAACUCAUCGCUGCCUCAGACACUGGUGGAAUCCUUACAAUCGCUACCUUUACGAAACGGCGACAGCACGCGCGAUGGUGUUGCGUCACCGACUACUCUCUCCACGCAUGUGUAUCGACUCGCCAUUCCUUCAAGCUUCGCCUUCCUCUCCCUCUUUCCUGUGACGAGGAUACGUCCACGCACACACGCGUCAACGCGCGUGCAUCACACGAAAAG
Molecule: unclassified non-coding RNA, 2389 nt
Filed under: Leishmania donovani
Lineage: Eukaryota; Euglenozoa; Kinetoplastea; Trypanosomatida; Trypanosomatidae
Description: gene:LdHU3.26.3220(CDS-product:CDP-diacylglycerol --inositol_3-phosphatidyltransferase_putative)
Source: RNAcentral